GGGCUCACUUUGGCAGUACAUAUACCAAAAAUGGAAUGAUACACAGAAGAUUAGCGUGGCCACUGUACAAAGAAGACACAUAAUUUUUUUUUUUAGAUUUAUUUAUUUAU
This 110-nucleotide small nuclear RNA is filed under the name Mus pahari (shrew mouse). The record is from RNAcentral. Lineage: Eukaryota; Metazoa; Chordata; Mammalia; Rodentia; Muridae.